Molecule: non-coding RNA, 245 nt
Filed under: Bacillus sp. (in: firmicutes)
Lineage: Bacteria; Bacillati; Bacillota; Bacilli; Caryophanales; Bacillaceae
Description: Bacillus sp. T-box sequence
Rfam family: T-box leader
About the family: Uncharged tRNA acts as the effector for transcription antitermination of genes in the T-box leader family. T-boxes are found upstream of many aminoacyl-tRNA synthetase genes and some amino acid biosynthetic genes usually in Gram-positive bacteria. The anticodon of a specific tRNA base pairs to a specifier sequence within the T-box motif, and the NCCA acceptor tail of the tRNA base pairs to a conserved bulge in the T-box antiterminator hairpin.
Source: RNAcentral
ACUUUUACGUUGAAAAGGAUUAGUAGUGGACGAAACGAGCAUAGAGAGUUGACGGUUGGUGGAAGUCAACAAACGAUCGGACAUGAACUCGCCUUGGAGUAGCAAGUGUGAACCCUUCUAGUUGAAGGCAGUAGUAUUUCGCCGUAUCAUCCGCGUUAAGGAUUCGAGUGAUUAUCAUGUUUUCGUGAUAAUAAUCUGGGUGGUACCGCGGUAGGUUAUGUAUAUUCAAACCUCUCGUCCCUUUA